Molecule: transfer RNA, 93 nt
Organism: Termitomyces sp. J132
Lineage: Eukaryota; Fungi; Basidiomycota; Agaricomycetes; Agaricales; Lyophyllaceae
Rfam family: tRNA
About the family: Transfer RNA (tRNA) molecules are approximately 80 nucleotides in length. Their secondary structure includes four short double-helical elements and three loops (D, anti-codon, and T loops). Further hydrogen bonds mediate the characteristic L-shaped molecular structure. tRNAs have two regions of fundamental functional importance: the anti-codon, which is responsible for specific mRNA codon recognition, and the 3' end, to which the tRNAs corresponding amino acid is attached (by aminoacyl-tRNA synthetases). tRNAs cope with the degeneracy of the genetic code in two manners: having more than one tRNA (with a specific anti-codon) for a particular amino acid; and 'wobble' base-pairing, i.e. permitting non-standard base-pairing at the 3rd anti-codon position.
Source: Rfam
ACACUGAUGGUGAAGUGGUUAUCAUGCUUGCCUUCCACUUUGACGUAAAUCCGAGGCCAGCAAGCGGCAGGGGUUCGAUUCCCCUUCAGUGUA